This 394-nucleotide ribosomal RNA is filed under the name uncultured bacterium. RNAcentral describes it as "partial 16S ribosomal RNA". It matches the Rfam family "Bacterial small subunit ribosomal RNA", at positions 523 to 918 of the family's 1533-position model. The record is from RNAcentral.
AUACGGAGGAUGCAAGCGUUAUCCGGAUUUAUUGGGUUUAAAGGGUGUGUAGGCGGAUGAUUAAGCGUGAGGUGAAAUGCCACUGCUCAACAGUGGAACUGCCUCGCGAACUGGUUGUCUUGAAUGCUCCUGCCGUGGGAGGAAUGUGUGGUGUAGCGGUGAAAUGCAUAGAGAUCACACAGAACACCGAUUGCGAAGGCAUCUCACGAAGGGGUGAUUGACGCUGAGGCACGAAAGCGUGGGGAUCAAACAGGAUUAGAUACCCUGGUAGUCCACGCAGUAAACGAUGAUAACUAACCGCUGGGUCGUAGUGAUUCAGUGGCCAAGCGAAAGCGAUAAGUUAUCCACCUGGGGAGUACGACCGCAAGGUUGAAACUCAAAUGAAUUGACGGGG